UGUUAAACAGCUCAGUCUUGAGCUAGUUAGCUACGCUAGGCUAACCACUUCCUGAUUCCAGCCUCACACAGACGUGUGUGAGAUGAUGGGUGUCCACAAUCCCAUUAUCUCGUUUACAGAAGGCUUUACUGUUCCUGUACAGGCAGAAGUCAAAUAGUGAAAAGCAAGCAAGAAACUGGAAGACCCGCAAUAAAAUUGUGUUGCCAAAGAGUGUUAUUUUCCAGGAGAGACGAUGGUGGGAAAGGUCGUGGGCAGCAUGUCAACAAGCUCAGCGGCUUAUUUUUGGCCUUUAAUUGCUGUUUUUCGUCACUUGCAUGCUCUCUCUCUCUCUCUCUCUCUCACACACACACACACACACACACACACACACACACACACACACACACAAUGCAACAAACUGGCAUUUGAAUCUGUACAUGCUCUUAUACACAAACCUGGAAAUCAGACGCUUUCAUGCACACAAACAUGCAAAGUCAAACACUACUACACACUCACACAUAUUGAGAAAAAGCACCGUGCACAAGGGCCUUGUACACAUACGCAAACACAUACACACACACACACACUGAAGCACACAGCGGUGUGUUUUGGCCGCGUCAGGCUUUGAGACCGACGUGGCUCUUCUAUCAUUCAUUCCCUCAGAAGUGUUUUUCAUCCUCUUUUUCCCUGUGGAAAACAGAAUUCAUGACCCGUCACCUUUUUUGCUGACUGCACAGGCCAUCCGCUGCCUUGGUAAACGAUUUCCCGGCUAUUUUAGUUGCCUCACAAAACACUUGAUGACACAAGUGGCAUGAAAAGCUCACAUUUUAGCGAGGUGUCCCUUUGUGCGACGAGAGAAAGGGAGUGAGAGACGAAGUGCGGCGAAGGUGUUCACAGGCGAAGAUGAAGCGAGGAAGGGAGAGGUUACCUUCAGAAUGACAGCAGAUCGGAGGAUUUGUGGUGAAUGUGAGAGAGAAGACUCCAUCGAUGGUUUCCCAGCGUGUGUGUGAGCGAGCACGCCGCUAGUGUGUAACUGUGUGUUUUAAAUAAGGCCCCGGCACCGGGCCGAGAGGUUGUUCGCCCUUGAAGGAAUGACGCGAGUGUGGAUGAGGAGGGACCUUUUUACCAUGUCCCAUUGCUCAGGACAAAUAAAAAGAAAUAAUGCACACACACACACACACACACACACAAUGACAAGUGGUGCCCUGAAUCUGUCACGGCCUCGGUCCCCCAUUUCUUACAGUCAGAUAAGAAUUUCCACAAAGGACUCGUCGCAAUCUCACCGUGCUCCCACCCCCUCCCCGUCUCAUUCUCCACAUAAUUUAGAGCAUCUCUCAGCAGCGCCUAACAACUCCCUCAUCCUUGUACGAACCUGAGCAGGUUCAAAUAA
Molecule: long non-coding RNA, 1369 nt
Organism: Acanthopagrus latus (yellowfin seabream)
Lineage: Eukaryota; Metazoa; Chordata; Actinopteri; Spariformes; Sparidae
Exons: 3
Source: RefSeq, a predicted model, not a curated record